RNAcentral lists this ribosomal RNA (460 nucleotides) under uncultured bacterium. Its description in RNAcentral is "partial 16S ribosomal RNA". It matches the Rfam family "Bacterial small subunit ribosomal RNA", at positions 338 to 795 of the family's 1533-position model. The record is from RNAcentral.
CCUACGUGAGGCAGCAGUGAGGAAUAUUGGUCAAUGGGCGCGAGCCUGAACCAGCCAAGUAGCGUGAAGGAUGACUGCCCUACGGGUUGUAAACUUCUUUUAUAAAGGAAUAAAGUGAGGCACGUGUGCCUUUUUGUAUGUACUUUAUGAAUAAGGAUCGGCUAACUCCGUGCCAGCAGCCGCGGUAAUACGGAGGAUCCGAGCGUUAUCCGGAUUUAUUGGGUUUAAAGGGAGCGUAGAUGGGUUGUUAAGUCAGUUGUGAAAGUUUGCGGCUCAACCGUAAAAUUGCAAUUGAUACUGGCAGUCUUGAGUACAGUUGAGGUAGGCGGAAUUCGUGGUGUAGCGGUGAAAUGCUUAGAUAUCACGAAGAACUCCGAUUGCGAAGGCAGCUUACUAAACUGCCACUGACAUUGAUGCUCGAAAGUGUGGGUAUCAAACAGGAGUAGAUACCCCAGUAGUC